This 622-nucleotide unclassified non-coding RNA is filed under the name Hevea brasiliensis (rubber tree). The record is from RNAcentral. Lineage: Eukaryota; Viridiplantae; Streptophyta; Magnoliopsida; Malpighiales; Euphorbiaceae.
UCCCGAUCCCACCUAAUAAUCUGCUUGAGCACCAGUAAAGUAAUCAUUAAAAUUCCAAAGCUAUACGUACAGAGAGGUAUCUGUUGGCAGCUUAAAAUAAAAGCUGUUACAGGUAGCAUGACGGCCACUCGGCCAGCAUUUCCAAGUAUGCUUCACGGAUGGGAAUUAAUACCAAAAUUGCUGAUAUAUCAGAGUUUUCAAAAAAAAAGUUCAUGGUUUCUCAAUCUUUACUGCCACAAAAAUGAGAAGGCUUAAGCAACGUUUUGUAUGCAGAAGCAGAGCACCAAAUAUCAGCUGCUUCCAAGGACAGACCCGUCUUGCACAUUUUUACAACCUGGAACACUAGGACUGGGACGUGGAAAGGCUCUUCCAUUUAGAAACAAACAGGACUCAGAUUGAUCCGUACCUAACUUCACUAGUUCUCCCUGUUGCUUGAGUAGAAGCAGGUUGACGCUCCCAUGAAGCUUGAUUUGCAAAUGGAUUAUUGACAUCUUCUGGUCGUGAAUAGCCAUGGCCUACCCCACUUACAGUUUCCAAACAUGCGGAUAAAAGUGUCAUUCCAGGCAAUGCAUCAAGCCCACGCUGAUUAUACACCCGUGUCUUGUAAAUGAACCCUCCACAG